AUUUAGAACUUGUUCAUUUAUUUGUAUGGGCAUUGCUUCUAACUUCACAAAAUUUCUCUCUCUUUCUUCAUUCCUCUUUUUUUCCCUUUUUCUUUUUCUCUUUUAAUAUUCCUUUUGAAGAUUCAUAAAUGAUGAAGAUUUAUAUGAAGUCCUAUCAUGUUUUUCCACAGCUUUCUUGAACUUUCUUUCUUGCUGAAUUUCCAUCUUUGGUAAUUUAUUGGAUUACUAUCAGAAAAUUGCUAAUUUUUUACCAACGUCUAGACGGAAUUUAUCUUGUCGAUAAGGUAAUAUUCAUUGUAAAUGCCACGGACGAGCCAAAUUUUGAUGAAUUUUUUUAGAAAUUAGCGAUUUUCUGAUAGUGAAAAUGAGAUGAGAUUAAGCUAUGAAAGUUCAAGAAUGUUGUGGGAAAACAUGGUGAAUUUAGGACUUCUUUUGUGUGGCUUUCCAUUUUAUGGAGGAUGUUGGAUUCAACAUUUUGCUAUAUAUACAUAGCCCAUGGGUCCAAAGAAAAAUCGCACCCGAAGGCUUGAAAAAUGAGAUGAUAAAUGGCAGAGAAGAUUCUCUUUUUUUCCUCUAUUACCAUCAAUAAUUGAUAUUGUUCAUAUUGUUUGCUCCUUUAUUUUUUUGCUACUUUAUGAUAUCAUUUCUUUCCGUGUAAAAG
This is a long non-coding RNA of Solanum dulcamara, 661 nucleotides long. RefSeq lists it as uncharacterized. The record is from RefSeq and is a predicted model, not a curated record. Lineage: Eukaryota; Viridiplantae; Streptophyta; Magnoliopsida; Solanales; Solanaceae. The transcript is spliced from 2 exons.